GGGGACUUAGUUCAAUGGGAGAAUAAAUCUAAAAUCACUUAAAGAUUUCUGUGUGAUAAUUAAAAGAUCUAGGUUCGAUUCCUAGAGUUCCCA
Trichomonas vaginalis G3 is the source of this 93-nucleotide non-coding RNA. Lineage: Eukaryota; Parabasalia; Trichomonadida; Trichomonadidae. The record is from Rfam.